CAGCACAUGGAGAGAGGAAAAAAACUAAAACAAUUCAAAGUUACAAAACCCUCAAUCGAGGCAAAUCAGAAUCAGCCACCUAAAAUCAAAGCAAAGUUGAAUUUCCGAUCAACAUUUUCGGAAACCCUAGCUCAGAUCCUGAAUUAACACCACCUCGUCGAAAAAUUCCACUAUCGCUUUCUAGGAAAAUAUUACUUUAAUUUCCAGGAAAGAGAGGGGAAAUUGA
Hibiscus syriacus is the source of this 226-nucleotide long non-coding RNA. RefSeq lists it as uncharacterized. The transcript is spliced from 3 exons. The record is from RefSeq and is a predicted model, not a curated record. NCBI's taxonomy places the organism in Eukaryota, Viridiplantae, Streptophyta, Magnoliopsida, Malvales, Malvaceae.